ACCACCCGUUUCGGGGACCUUGGUACAGGCAGGCCGGGGAUUCCCCUCUUUACACCGGGCUCACAGCGCAAAGCAGCGAGCUUACCCUUUUGGGAUCCUUGGUACAGGCAGGCCGGGGGUUCCCUCUUUACACCGGGCUGACGCUGCAAGCGAAGCCCAUGCUUUUGGGAACCCUGAUACAGGCAGGUCAGGGAUUCCCGCUUUUACACCACAAUG
Molecule: non-coding RNA, 216 nt
Filed under: Pseudomonas siliginis
Lineage: Bacteria; Pseudomonadati; Pseudomonadota; Gammaproteobacteria; Pseudomonadales; Pseudomonadaceae
Description: Nitrogen regulated small RNA
Rfam family: Nitrogen regulated small RNA
About the family: Its transcription is induced during nitrogen limitation by the NtrB/C two-component system (an important regulator of nitrogen assimilation and swarming motility) together with the alternative sigma factor RpoN (a global regulator involved in nitrogen metabolism). By activating rhlA (a gene essential for rhamnolipids synthesis) it positively regulates the production of rhamnolipid surfactants needed for swarming motility.
Source: RNAcentral